Molecule: unclassified non-coding RNA, 234 nt
Filed under: plant metagenome
Description: partial contains small subunit ribosomal RNA, internal transcribed spacer 1, and 5.8S ribosomal RNA
Source: RNAcentral
UUUCCGUAGGUGAACCUGCGGAAGGAUCAUUACUGAGUGCGGGCCCUCUGGGUCCAACCUCCCAACCGUGUUUAUUGUACCUUGUUGCUUCGGUGUGCCUGCCUCACGGCCGCCGGGGGGCAUCUGCCCCCGGGCCCGCGCUCGCCGAAGACACCAUUGAACUCUGUCUGAAGUUUGCAUUCUGAGCGAAAACUAAAUAAGUUAAAACUUUCAACAACGGAUCUCUUGGUUCCG